Molecule: ribosomal RNA, 279 nt
Filed under: uncultured bacterium
Lineage: Bacteria
Description: partial 16S ribosomal RNA
Rfam family: Bacterial small subunit ribosomal RNA
Source: RNAcentral
CUUGCUUUCGCCCGCCGGCGACCGGCGCACGGGUGAGUAACACGUAUCCAACCUGCCUCAUACUCGGGGAUAGCCUUUCGAAAGAAAGAUUAAUACCCGAUGUUAUAGUCCUACCGCAUGAUGGGAUUAUUAAAGAAUUUCGGUAUGGGAUGGGGAUGCGUUCCAUUAGUUAGUUGGCGGGGUAACGGCCCACCAAGACAACGAUGGAUAGGGGUUCUGAGAGGAAGGUCCCCCACAUUGGAACUGAGACACGGUCCAAACUCCUACGGAAGGCAGCAG